GCCUCCUUAGCUCGGGGGCAGAGCACUGGUCUUGUAAACCAGGGGUCGUGAGUUCGAUUCUCACAGGGGGCA
Molecule: transfer RNA, 72 nt
Filed under: Schistocerca americana (American grasshopper)
Lineage: Eukaryota; Metazoa; Arthropoda; Insecta; Orthoptera; Acrididae
Also listed under: 2 other names
Description: tRNA-Thr
Rfam family: tRNA
About the family: Transfer RNA (tRNA) molecules are approximately 80 nucleotides in length.
Source: RNAcentral